Transfer RNA from Ramazzottius varieornatus, 71 nucleotides. It matches the Rfam family "tRNA". Rfam says of the family: Transfer RNA (tRNA) molecules are approximately 80 nucleotides in length. Lineage: Eukaryota; Metazoa; Tardigrada; Eutardigrada; Parachela; Ramazzottiidae. The record is from Rfam.
GGUUGUAUGGUGUAGUGGUAGCACGUCGGACUUUGAAUCCGUCGACCCGAGUUCGACCCUCGGUAUGACCU